GAUGAACGCUGGCGGCGUGCUUAACACAUGCAAGUCGAACGGGACUUACUUUAUUGAAACUUCGGUCGAUUUAAUUUAAGUCUAGUGGCGGACGGGUGAGUAACGCGUGGGUAACCUGCCUCACACUGGGGGAUAACAGUCAGAAAUGCGGACUAAUCCCCCAUAGUCCUGGAGGCUGCAUGGCCUUCAGGGGAAAGGUCAGCCGGUAGGGGAUGGGCAUGCGGCGCAUUAGCUAGUUGGCGGGGCAACGGCCCACCAAGGCGACGAUGCGUAGGGGUUCUGAGAGGAAGGUCCCCCACACUGGUACUGAGACACGGACCAG
Molecule: ribosomal RNA, 322 nt
Filed under: uncultured bacterium
Lineage: Bacteria
Description: bacterial SSU rRNA
Rfam family: Bacterial small subunit ribosomal RNA
Source: RNAcentral